Molecule: non-coding RNA, 29 nt
Filed under: Bombyx mori (domestic silkworm)
Lineage: Eukaryota; Metazoa; Arthropoda; Insecta; Lepidoptera; Bombycidae
Source: RNAcentral
UACAAUAUCCUCUUUAGGCGAAUGUCGGU